UCAACCAUUGUUGGCCUAUCUUCCGGUGAGUUGUUGACACAUUCUAAGGUAAGUUGUGCAGAGGCAUGCAAUUGCUGUUCUUUCUCAAUGCAUGAUACGUCUUGAACAAUUAUAGGAGCUGCUAUCUCAGUAAAUCUUUUAUCUUCAAGAUAGUUAUUCAAAUAUUCAUUGAAAAAACAGCCAUGAUCAUGUGUAUCCUUAAGAAGAUCCCAGAUGUGUAUCCGUCCAGUUAAAAGCUGAAAUAGAAAUGCACCAAAACUAAAAACAUUGGACUUUUCGUUUAAAACACAUAUGCUUAUGUACUCAGGUGCAGAAUAUCCCCGUGUUCCAAUCACUCUGUCAGUAGUAAUGUGGGUUUCACCUUCAGGAAUGGAUAUGGAUAGUAAAAAGUCAAACCAUUUUGCAACAUUUUCUUCAUUGAACAAGAUAUUUUGUGUCUUGAGAUUUCUUAAAACAAUUGGCCUGGGGAAUCCAAAGUGAAGAUAAGCAAGUGAAUUAGCAAUACCCCUUGCAAUCUUUAACCUGGAUGGCUUGAUUUCUAUAGUAAUGGUUCAAACCGAGGUAGAGGAGCGCCGAAAAUACAAUCACGAAGAGUCCCAUACUCUACAGAUUCAAAAACUAGAAUGGGAAUUGGAGUCUGUAAGCAGCAUCCAAUUCGCUUUAAAAUAUGAUUGUGGCUCAUUUGUGCUGCAUAUGUGAUGUUGUUAAGACAACUUUCGUGUGUAUGACGACGGUAUUCAUGACCAUAAAACUUCAUAACUGAAAUUAGGAACUCCUACCAAAAACCCUCGUACAAUUUAUAUAUGCUGCCUGUCUUAUAACUUUUCUCUUGUCAUAGUUGUUAGUUGCAAUCUUGAGUUCUUUAGCAGAAAAGAUACAAGGAUUAUAUUUACCAUUAGAAGACGCUAUUAACUCUUUUAGUACACUCGUGCCAUUCCUCACCAUCAAUGUUCUUCUAUCAUUCCUGUCCCUGAAUUUUCUUAUAAUUGCACCCAUCUAGAAGUAGAAACCAAUUCAAAUAUUGCAGUCAGUUCGUUUUAUUUAUAUGCUACUAUUUCAUUCAUAAAUGUAUAGCAAUAAAAUUAAAAAAAAAAAAAAAAAGAGAGAGAGCAAAGUUGCUGAAUACUAAUAACAAGGAGAAGAGUAUAUGUGUGGGUGUGGACAUGCAGCAAAUUGAUUAAUUACGAAAACGCUAUGCUUGAUCUUGAUCUUUGCUACUGCAAGAGUUAGUUAAGAUUCUGAUGUUGAUUAAAUUGAGUCAUAUAUAUAUAUUUUUCUGUUAAUCAUGAAUAAUUAUAAAAUUUGUUUGUCUAAUUAAUGCUUAAUUUAAUUUGAAAUACAAUAUGAAAAUACAAGGUCUUCCCCUAUUCAACCAAGGAUAUCCGACGCAAGAGGGAAAGAAAUAGCCCACAUGGCUAAGCGUGGAAUGAAUUCUUUUACAAUGAUUUUUUUUUUAUUUUUUGAGAAAUAUGUUAAGAAAUAAGAACAUAGAACAUAAGUAAUGUAAAUGGAACAUAAAAUAUAAGUGACGUAAAUAAAAGGUAAUACAAAUAAAACAUGUACAUAUCUUAAGAAAUAAGAACAUAAAACAUAAAUAAAAAGUAAAACAAAUAAAACAUGUAAGUAUCUUGAGAAAUAAGAACAUAAAACUAAUAUUAAUAUGGAACAUAAAAUAUAAGUGACAUAAAUAAAAGGUAAAAAAGUAAAGUUUAUUAACAUAAAGAGAACGUACUUAAAAAGAAAUUAAAGCAAGCUGAUGAUGACAAUUGACAAGAAGCUAGGAUGUACCUGUGGACGGGUGAGAGGUUUGAUCUUUCGAUGUACCUGCGGACGGUGAGAGGCUUGAUCUUUUGAGAGACAUUGUUGCAAUUUCUCAAGCAAAAUUUGAACAGAAAUGUAAGCUUCUAAGAAAUUCGGAAGUCAACCAUAAGUUAUUCAAAGUCCGGAGAAAAAUAUUGUUAUAGCAUCAUAAACGCGGUCACCAGAGAGGCACUGUGUGCACGCUGCAAUCUCUCAAGGGUAUGGGAAAUUUACGAAAAUAACCAUAAAACUUUUGUUAUUUUCACAAUUAAUCCUCUCAAUUUUUUUCUAUCAACAUUAGCCAAACACACGCUUUUCUCCCCAAAUUACCCUUCUUUAACUUUCUUUCUCCCCUUUCGUCAAACCAAAGACAACUUUCCACUAUUGAAUCAUCAACCAACAGCGACGGCAAAAUGUAACGAUAAAAGUGAAAUCCGAUCAUAAUUUAUCCGGAUCCAACACUAAUCGGCAUCACAUAGUGGUAUGAGUUAUUUUCUGAACUUGAUCGAGAGUUUCGAAACUGCGAGUCGUGAGUGAAUCUGACGAAAGACUGCCUGUCGCACGAAGCUUGGUGCGACAGAUUGCCUGUCGCACCAAAACUUAGAGCGACAGGCGCCUGUCGCACGAAGCUUGGUGCGACAAGCAAUUUUGGACCUGCCAACGUUAAGUGGCAGCACCAAAAAUGGGAAAUCGUUUGGCUUCGUAUACGUUGUUCCAGUAAAAGAUGGGAAGAAGAAUGUACAUGACCAAGGCAAAACCAACUAAAGUAUUGACAAUGGCAAACAAUGGUGCAACAGGCUGGUGCGACAGGCUGCCUGUCGCACCAACAUUAUUUUCUGGAAUGCUUGCCUGUUGCACCAACAUUGUUUUCUGGAAUGCUUGUCAUUAACCAUGAUCUAUUUGGCAUAUACUUUGCCUGAAAUAAAGGGUACGGUGGUUAUUAAACAACUUUAACUCUAUGGAACAAAUGUUUACAUCACGUGCAUCAACUGAUUAAGAUGCCACUUUAUGAUUAAUUUUUCCGUAAGACUGCCUGUGAGGCAUGUAGGUGUCCAGACUUGUGUUUCACCCUCUUCUUUUUCCUUUUACUUGGCUUUACAUAGCUUUGUACAACCAAGGCAUAUUCUUUGUGUCUGGAAUGUUGAUUGAGAUGGAUGUACUGGACGGAGAGAUUUCGGCUAUAAGGUUUAUUUCUUGACCACAGUACAGCAAACAACUUGGAUUUUUGCUGGAAACUGAAUAAGAUAAGCUAACUCCGUCUGAGAUUUAGCUUUGGAAUUGAGUCAAACCAAGUAAAAACAUGUUUAUAGAAUUAAGUUUAUGGUUAUUUGAUCUUGCUGGAACCGUGUACCGGAAUGACAAUAGUUGACACACUAUAGAUAUUGCUUAAAGUAAUCAAGUUGUGGGAGCAAUGAUUAAAACAGUCAUACUUUCAUGUUGUUUAAAAAGAUUUUUUUUCAAAGUGACAGUAAAUCUCAACCCAACUGGAACGAGAAAAUGAUCAAAUGCUUUUGGAAGUACACUUUUACAUUAUUCCACAGACUCUCUUGUCUUCAUAUUUGAUUGCAUGGUAUGAAUAAAAUGCUCAAAUUCUUUGUUCCUUUCCAUGACCAGGGGGCAAACACCUGUUGCCAUAAAUAAUAGGUCUUUCUCUGGGCGACAAUGUUUGACAGUUGUUGUUUAUAGAAUAAUUCCUGUAGUUUCUGAUAUGCUAUACACUUUUACAUUAUGCAGAUACAGUGAAGCGACAUCGGAAAGGGGAACUUGAUCCACUAAAUUAUAAGUAUUUUCGGUACUAGGGAUGAUUAUUGGCUAAUGUUGAUAGGAAAAAAGUUGAGGGGUUAGUUGUGAAAAUAACAAAUUUUUUUAGGUUAUUUGUGUAAAUUUCCCCAAGGGUAUAUUUGUACCAGCAUAUUGUUUUAUAUAAAGUAACCUUCAAUACACCCAUGGAAUGACAAUCCUCAAUUUGUACUCUAAAAGUGUGAAAAUUUUAAUUUAUCUAUUUAAAAGAUGAGGGUCGAUGGGGUGUGUUGAUGAAUUUUUUUGGUUAUCUUUUUUUUUUUAAUUUUUUUUGGAUCAAUUGAAUAUUGUUAUUCUAAAUAGGGGUAAAGUUCAACCCAUGUUUUUCAUUUAAGUGAUAGAAUCUCGUGGCUCAUCUUCCACUCUCUGUAAUAGUGUAAAUAUUAAUGACAAUGAAGUACUUAUCCACAAUAAAUCUACAGCUUUCAAAAGUUUGACCAUAAAUCUACAACAAGCAAAUAUGCCAUUGUUGGUAAUAUUCAUGCCAUUACGUGUAACCAAUGACAAAUAUUCUACUAAUAUUAAAUUUAAACGUGAAUAUCAUCAAAUUCUUUUUUUUCUUUUUUGUGAUAAAUAGCUUUUAUUUAUAAAAAUGCUCACCUAAAAAUAUAUCUAGCAGUACUACUCAAUAACAUACACCAUUAUGUUAUAUAUAGUUUAAAGAAAUCUACUAGCGUCCCACCCAUGGGCGGACUCAGUACAUAAGGGGGCUCAAGAGGGACUUCAGGGACUUUUUUAGGCCAUUAUUUUUCUUUUAAAUAUAUCUCAUACCCUUUUUAAAAGAGUUAAAUAAAAAAAAUUUGAGUACAUUUUUUUAUGUAACAAAAUACUUAUAAUUUAGUGGCAAGAGUACUGUUUAGUGGUUUUUAUAGACUUGGUUCAAACUACAAUAGCCAUAUAAUUAUUUUAUGGAGAUUACUUAUAUAAGGAACUUUUAUAAAUGUGGUCAGUGGCCACAAUGAGCUUCAACAUUAAAAAUAAAUAAUUUAUUAUUAUUAUUUAAAAUGAAAAAGUAGAGUUUGAGUUUUGAGACUUUAAAAAAUAAGUACGCCAAAUUAAAUUAAAAUUUUUGAACUCACCUUCCAAAUUUAAGUUUCGGGGUACACCACUGUGUCCGCCGAGAUUGAAACUUAAAUACUAAAAGAAAUACAAUUGGGUUGAGUGAGGUUGACAAUAAAAUCCGAAUUUAAUAGCUUUUAUACACAUUACACACACUUCAACCAGUGGCUCAGUCGACGAUCGAAACUUCAUAGUAGUUGACUUCUCUAUUAGCUUAUUUUAAUUUCAGAAUGCGAAUAAACAAAACAGAGGAUCUCUCUACUCUGCCCCAGCAGCAGCGUGAACAAAGUGAUUUUGUGAUUAGAAAAAUAUUCAAUUUGCAAGUAAGUUUAAUAUUACAAAUUAAAUUUACUUGCAAAUUAAACUAUUAACAUUUUGUUUAUUCAAAUAACCGGGUCACAGUACUACUACUGGCAGGGGAAAAUGAAAACAUAAAAAAAAUGAAUACAAAAGAUUAAUUACACUAAAUAGAGCAAUAAAUUUGUCUGAGUCUUUUUGUGACAUCAACCAUUGUUGCCCUAUCUACCGCUGAUUCGUUGAGACAUUCAAGAGUGAGUCGUGCACAAGCUUGCAAUUGGUGCUCUUUCUCAGUGCAUGAUAGGUCUUGAACAAUUAUAGGAUCUGCUAUCUCAGUAAAUCUAUUAUUUUGAAGAUAGUUGUUCAAAUGUUCAAUGAGAUGACGGACCGAACCAUGUGUACGAAGUAAAUCCCUGGUGCUCUGUCCAGUCAAAAGCUCCAACAGAACUGUACUGAAAGUAUAAACAUCCAACUUUUCAUUGAAAACACCUCCCCUCUUGUACUCAGGUGCACUAUAUGUCCAGGCUCCAAACCGACUACGUGUAAGUAUGUGGGUUUCACCUUCGGGAAUGGAUAUGGAUUCCGAAAAAUCAAACAAUUUUGCAACAUUUUCUUCAUUGAACAAGAUGCAUAAUGGGAUGAGAUUUCCAAAAACGAUGGGUCUGGGGAAUCCAACAUGAAGAUAAGCAAGUGCAUGAGCAACAUCAAUCGCAAUCUUUAACCUAUGUUUCAACAGUAAUGGUUCAAAGUGAGGUUGGGGAGCGCCGAAAAUACGAUCACGAAGAGUUCUGUACUCUCCAUAUUCAAAAACUAGAAUGGGAAUUGGAGUCUCUAAGCAGCAUCCAAUUAGCUUUAAAAUAUGCUUGUGAUCCAUUUGCGCUGCAUAUACGAUGUUAUUAAUACUAAACUUAUAAGCGCUAUCAGAAUAGGAUUCAUUAUACUUCAAAACAGAAAUUAGGCGCUCCUGCCAAAAGCCCUUGUACAAUUUAUAUAUGUGAAAGAUGCAUUUUUUUAUAACUUCUCUCCCGUCAUAGUUGUUAGUUGCAAUCUCGAGUUCUUUAGCAGAAAAGAUACGAUAAGGAUUAUAUUUACCAUGAGAAGACGCGAUCAACUCUUUCAGUACGGUCGCGCCAUUCCUCACCAUCAAUGUUCUUUUAUCAGUCCUGUCCUUGAAUUUUGUCAGAAUUGAACCCAUCUACAAGUAGAAACCAAUUCAAAUAUUGCAAUCAGUUCGUUUUAUUUGUAUAUAUACAUACUAUUUCAUUCAUAAAUAUAUAGCAGUAAAAUUUAUCAAAAAAAAAAAAAACCAAAAGCUGCUGAACGCUGAUGAUAAGGUGAGGAGUACCUGUGGCUGUGGACGUACAGCAAAUUGAUUAAUUAAGAAAACGCGGUGCUCGAUCUUGAUCUUGAUCUUUACUACUGCAUGUCAAAGUAAAGACUUUAGCAGCCAUGGUUGAACAUGACCAAAUUUGUUGAUCAAAUUUGGUGGGUAAGCAGUCAACCAAGGAUAUGUACAACGCAGGAGCGUAAGGAACAGUCCACAUGGCUAAACGCGGAACAAUUUCUUUUAUGACGAUUUCUAUUUUUUGAGAAAUGUUAUGAUUGGUUAAACAACCAAUUAAUGACAUUGACGUAUCUUAAAUUGUCUUGAAAUUUAUCAACUAUCUUUUUCCCCACAUUUUACCCUCUUCCAUCUUAGAUUUUUUUGUUUCCGUGGUUCUCUUUCCUCCCUCUUCAAUUCCCAAAUUUCAAAAGAAAGAGGAUUAAACAUUAAUUAUAUUUCGCCCAGAUUACAUUAGCACCUAAUUUCUCUUAAUUCUCUUCCAUCUUUUCUCUGCUUUGUUCAAUAAUUUAGUCAUUUUAUUUCAUAUAUUUUGUGUAUAUUUGUAGCGAAGCUUGAUUUGAUCUUCAUCUUUAUGUUGAUUAAAUUGAGACACAGCUAUCUAGCUCUCCUAGUUGGCGUUUUAUACAUGUAUCUGAACGAGUAUAAAGUUUGUCCAAUUAAUUCCUUCUUUUUCAGUGCCUUUUCUUUUCUUCUUUUUUUCUUUUGAGUAAUGAUACAGCCACAAACUCUUGUACAAACUUAUUUUGUACAAACUGACGUGGCAUUAAUUCAUUGGUUGAAUGGAAAUAUAAAUUAAUAAAAACAAAUCAUGUGGGCCAAGUAAUAUUUAAUUCAACUAAUCUUAUCAUGCCACAUCAAUUUGUACAAAAUAAGUUUGUACAAGAGUUUGUGGCUGUAUCAUUACUCUUUUCUUUUUUGGCUUUUUACUUUGUGGGCCAGCAAUUUUUUCUUCACUUUCGUACCUUUGCUGUUCUCAUUGUUAAAAAUAAAAUGUCAUUUCAUCAUUACACUUUCUAGUUUCUACUCAGUCAAUUAUUGAGAGAUCAGAGUUAAGAUUUUUUUUUCAAUUGUCAUUUUACGAUAUGCUUUUUAAAAUUAUUAUCUCAUGAUAUGCCUAUCCCUAUAUCCCAUCUAUCAUCUCAAUAUAAAUUCAUAAAUUAGUGAUAUUUAUAAUUAGAAAGAAGUUUAUUGCUAUUGUAUAAUUAAGAAAACGCGGUGCUCGAUCUUGAUCUUGAUCUUUACUACUGCAGGAGUUGGCUCAGAUUCUGAUGUUGAUUCAUUUGAGUCACCUAAAUAAGUAUGAAGUGUUUUUUUCUAAUGCUCAAUUUAAUUUGGAAUAUGUGAAAAUGCAACAAGUCUUCCUCUAGUCAACCAAGGAUACACAACGCAUGAGGGUGAGAAUUGUUGGGUUCAGUUAUUCUAUGUGAGCCAACUACCCAUGUUGAGAACAUGAGCGACUUUUAAGGAGAAUGAAAAAAGAAAAUUAAUCUUCCAGGGAGAGUGGGAGGAUUUCGGUUUUUUCAUUUUUUUUUUGGGUUAUUUUGCUUGAGUUAUUUCCCUUCCAGUCAAUUAUUAAAUUUACUCCUAAUCUAACUUAAGCAUCGGAGGGUUCUAGCCGGAAUCCCCACCGGCAAGUCCUGACCGAUUUCUGUGGUUUUCAGGUUGCAGACUUGAAGUUCAGAUCAAUAUUCAAGCUUGGUUUGUACUAAUUUCCCACCAUAAACAAAUUCAGCUGUUGAGGUCAUAUUUUGGCAUCAACAUCUUGGCGCCGUCUGUGGGGAACGGUACGAAAAGCCAUAAGAAAAUGAUGAGAUUCAUUGGAUGGGAAAUAGGAGGGCAGUAGAACAAAUUGUUGUUGGCAAGUACAACUCGAAAGAACACUUCUCAGAGGAGAGAAUCAGGUUCGGUUUCAGUUUAAUUAAGGGGCGUGAAUUACAGAUUAAUCAUUGUUUUAUUAUUUGUUGAUUAUGAUGAUGUUUCUCGAUUCUGAGGUGAUUGAACUACUUGUGCAAUUUCUUUUCAAACAAAUGCUAAUUAGCCAAAAUUAUUUUAUUUGAUUGAGAAAUAGCUGAGAAUUGAGGAGAAAUCAAAUAACCGAUAAGAUUAAUAGCAAUGAAUUAAUGGGUUAAUUUGAUUGGACCCUAUUUGGAGUGGUUUGGCAUUACUCACUGGGUUCAAAAGCUUAGCAUCUUACUAUGUACUAACCAAUCCAGUCUUGUAGUUGUGGCUUUGGCGCAAGAGGUGUUUGAUAAAAUAUCUCAGGGUGUAAGAAUUAUUCCGCAGUCAACCAAGGAUAUGUACAACGCAGGAGCGUAAGGAACAGUCCACAUGGCUAAACGCGGAACAAUUUCUUUUAUGACGAUUUCUAUUUUUUGAGAAAUGUUAUGAUUGGUUAAACAACCAAUUAAUGACAUUGACGUAUCUUAAAUUGUCUUGAAAUUUAUCAACUAUCUUUUUCCCCACAUUUUACCCUCUUCCAUCUUAGAUUUUUUUGUUUCCGUGGUUCUCUUUCCUCCCUCUUCAAUUCCCAAAUUUCAAAAGAAAGAGGAUUAAACAUUAAUUAUAUUUCGCCCAGAUUACAUUAGCACCUAAUUUCUCUUAAUUCUCUUCCAUCUUUUCUCUGCUUUGUUCAAUAAUUUAGUCAUUUUAUUUCAUAUAUUUUGUGUAUAUUUGUAGCGAAGCUUGAUUUGAUCUUCAUCUUUAUGUUGAUUAAAUUGAGACACAGCUAUCUAGCUCUCCUAGUUGGCGUUUUAUACAUGUAUCUGAACGAGUAUAAAGUUUCUCCAAUUAAUUCCUUCUUUUUCAGUGCCUUUUCUUUUCUUCUUUUCUUCUUUUUAGGCUUUUUACUUUGUGGGCCACCAAUUUUUUCUUCACUUUCGUACCUUUGCGGUUCUCAUUGUUAAAAAUAAAAUGUUUCAUCAUUACACUUUCUAGUUUCUACUCAGUCAAUUAUUGAGAGAUCAGAGUUAAGAUUUUUUUUUCAAUUGUCAUUUUACGAUAUGCUUUUUAAAAUUAUUACUCAUGAUAAGCCUAUCCCUGUAUCCCAUCUAUCAUCUCAAUAUAAAUUCAUAAAUUAGUGAUAUUUAUAAUUAGAAAGAAGUUUAUUCCUAUUGUAUACAUAGAAACUUGAACUUGUAUGACGCUUAGAAGGAGAAGAAUGAUUUAACGUCUGACUUAUGAGAGAAAGUUCUCGCCUAAGGAGCUAUCAGUAGUUGAACAAGAUACAAAAAUAUUUAUACUUCUGUAAAAGCUUGCAUUUACUGUUGUGGCUAUGAAAACAUGAAGACAUGAUAUCUCAACAAGAUACAUGAAUUGACAACAAAACAUAUUCUAAGAAUGUUUUUAUUGUGACUAUAAAAUAACUCACCAUCCAAAACGAUAUGCUUGUCUGAGCUGUUUUGCUACAUCAAUCAUCGUUGGUCUAUCCUCCGCUGAUUCAGAUACACAUUUCACGGCAAGCUCUACAAAAGCUUGCACUUGCUUAUCUUUUUCAGAAGAUUGAAUACAGAGUUCCUCACGAAUUACAGGAUCGACAAUCUCAUCAAACGUGUUACAUUCAAUAUGUUUCUUCACACGAUUCAAUAACCAAUGACGAUCUCCAGCUUCAUCAAUGCGUGAAAUUAUAUUGGCUUUAACAAUAUAGUAACUGAAUGUCUGGAACUUGUGUUAGGCAAUAUAGCGAUUAUAUAUUGCGGUUAAACAUGUAAAUUUGUUUGCUUAAGAGAACUUUGCCAUAAGCCAAGGACAAAAAUCCAGGUUCUAUUUCAAUUUAUUUAAUAUCAGCAUGAAACUAUUUGAAGAGCUAUAUAUAUAUAUUUGCUCAACUACUACUUUCGCAUGGGAAAAUAUUAGAUAUUAGCUAUAUUUGUUUUCUUGAAACGAUGGCUCUAGUUCACAUUGCAUAAUUUAACCAAUCCAGUCUUGUAGUUGUGGCUUUGGCGCAAGAGGUGAUUGAUAAAAUAUCUCAUGGUGUAAGAAUUGUUCCGUGACUUUAUUUAAAAUAAUUGAGUAAGAUGAUUUCUAAAGGUCACAACAACAAUAUCAGAAGAUAGCUAAAAAGCAACAUUAAGGAUGUCCUAGCAACAUAAAAAAGGGAAGUAGUUGUGGCAAAACAAGAAUUGCAAAACAAUGGUCCUACAAGAAUCAUAAACUGGUAUAUGACCAAGAGAUUUUUACAUUAAUUAUUUCCAACAUACCUUACAUUUUUUUUCUUAUAUGCUACAAGUUAGUAAAUGAAGUAAUAGGUUAAAUAAAGAGUGAAAGCUUCAAUGAUCUUGUUCCUACUAGAUAUAUUUUAUUUAUUUAUUUAUUUAUUUUUUAUCUCGCUUCCAAGUCAAACUGGGCUGGCACCAUACGAACUCGAAACUACACAUAUGCUUGGAAUCCCUGUACAUUUUUUCUUUUUUUUUUUUUCUUCUUUCAAAAUUAUAUGUCUUGUUUAUAAAGAAUUGACCAGGAAAAUUUUAGUGGCAAGAAAUUUGCUAUUAACAAAUGUAAGGAAGGGAUUAAAGGGAGAAGCUAUAAAGAAAAAGCUUGUGGUUGUUCUUCGGGAUUCACUUCGAACCUGCAUGGAUAUCAUGAAUCCAUUAAAUUUACAUUCAUGGGAAGAAGAGAAUUAAAGCCAAGACUGUGAUCCUCAAGAAACCACUCUCCGCAAAGACUCCAAUCAGGUGCAUUUGUUCUAAACUUCAGUUCCUCAGGUAAUAUUUUCACUUAAAGUUUGCCUUUUGGUUUGAGACAUGAAAUUAAAAUACUGAUUGGUCAUUUAUUGAUAAAUAUUUGGUAAAAGAUAAAAAUUUUGUAAAACUCUGGCUGUAUAGCUUUUUAUCAAUCUUAAUUUUGCAUGUAAAUCGUAAGAGCUAUAGUCACAAAAGGUCUAGUAUGAUAUCUUUGAGAGUAUAAUUAUUUUUUAGAACUGAUUUAUGUUUGCAACACUGAAAUUACCAAAAAUGCAUGAAAUGAAGCUACCUUUAAUUUUAUGAUAAUUGCUUGUUGAACAUGCCGUAAUUUGAGAUCGGCACCUACAUAUCUGAUUCUACAAUUUGAGAUCUAAGUCUACAUUCUAGUUCUACAAUUUGAGAUCUACAUCUACAUAUUUGAUUCUACAAUGUGAGAUCUACAUCUACAUAUUUAAUUCUACAAUUUGAGAUCCAAAUCUAUAGAUUUGAUUCUAUAAUUUGAGAUCGGCAUCUACAUAUUUGAUUCUAUAAUUUGAGAUCUAUAUCUACAUAUUUGAUUUCAUAAUUUGAGAUCGGCACCUACAUAUCUGAUUCUACAAUUUGAGAUCUAAGUCUACAUUCUAGUUCUACAAUUUGAGAUCUACAUCUACAUAUUUGAUUCUACAAUGUGAGAUCUACAUCUACAUAUUUAAUUCUACAAUUUGAGAUCCAAAUCUAUAGAUUUGAUUCUAUAAUUUGAGAUCGGCAUCUACAUAUUUGAUUCUAUAAUUUGAGAUCUAUAUCUACAUAUUUGAUUUCACAAUUUGAGAUCGGCACCUACAUAUCUGAUUCUACAAUUUGAGAUCUAAGUCUACAUUCUAGUUCUACAAUUUGAGAUCUACAUCUACAUAUUUGAUUCUACAAUGUGAGAUCUACAUCUACAUAUUUAAUUCUACAAUUUGAGAUCCAAAUCUAUAGAUUUGAUUCUAUAAUUUGAGAUCGGCAUCUACAUAUUUGAUUCUAUAAUUUGAGAUCUAUAUCUACAUAUUUGAUUUCACAAUUUGAGAUCGGCACCUACAUAUCUGAUUCUACAAUUUGAGAUCUAAGUCUACAUUCUAGUUCUACAAUUUGAGAUCUACAUCUACAUAUUUGAUUCUACAUUUUGAGAUUACAUCUAUAUAUUCGACAUCUACAUAUUGAGAUCGAGGUUGUCAUUUUUUAUCUUAUCGGGGUCCAUCUUAAUUUAAUUAUUUGAUCGAAUCUUAUUGAGAAUGAAGUUGGAAAUUUUGUGGAGUUCAUUUUGGCCUUAUUGAGGUCCAAUUGACUUUGUUCUGCUUGCCUUAUUGAGGUCUAGCUUGAUAAAUUGUUUUUGCCUUGUUGAGGUCCGACGUGAAUAAAUUGUAUGAUUCGAUCUUAUUGAAAUCGAGGUCUCUAUCUUGGCCUUAUUGAAGUCUAAUGUGAAUAAAUUAUUUGAUUCGAUCUUAUUGAGAUCAAGGUCGUCAUUUUUGGCCUUAUUGAGAUUGAAGUUGUCAUCCCUUAUUGAGAUUGAAGUUGUCAUCCAACCUUAUUGAGAUUGAAGUUGUCAUCCAAUCUUAUUGAGAUUGGCAGCGAGGUCAUUUGAUCUUAUUGAGACCGUGGUCGUCGCCCGAUUUUAUUAAGAUCGAGAUAUUGUUAAGUUGAUUUUUUUUUCUCUUUUUCUUUCAUUAUUCUUAAGUUUCCAAGACCAAUCACAAGUUCUUGAUAUUGAAAACUAGGGUACUUAUGUUGGAUUCAGUUAUUCUAUGUGAGCCAACUACCCAUGUUGAGAACAUGAGCGACUUUUAAGGAGAAUGAAAAAAGAAAAUUAAUCUUCCAGGGAGAGUGGGAGGAUUUGGGUUUUUUCAUUUUUUUUGGGUUAUUUUGCUUGAGUUAUUUCCCUUCCAGUCAACAAUUAAAUUUACUCCUAAUCUAUCUUAAGCAUCCGAGGGUUCUAGCCGGAACCUCCACCGGCGAGUCCUGACCGAUUUAUGUGGUUUUCAGGUUGCAGACUUGAAGUUCAUAUCAAUAUUCAAGCUUGGUUUGUACUAAUUUCCCACCAUAAACAAAUUCAGCUGUUGAUGUCAUAUUUUGGCAUCAACAAGAAUAGUCCACGUGGCUAAGUGUGAAAUAAUUCUUUUAUAAUUAUUUCUAUUUUUUGAGAAAUUUUAUGAUAGAUGAAACCACCAAUUAAUAAACAUUGACGUAUCUUAAAUUUUAUCUUGAAAUUUAUCAAAUAUCUUUUCUCCCACAUUUUAUCCACCAUUUUCAAAUUUUUUGUUUCCGUGGUUCUCUUUCCUCCCUCUUCAUUUCCCAAAUUUCAAAAGAAAGGGGAUUAAACAUUAAUUAUAUUUCCCUCAGAUUACAUUAGCACCUAACUUUUCUUUAUUCUCUUCCCUCUUUUCUCUGCUUUGCUCAAUAAUUCAGUCAUUUUAUUUCAUAUAUUUUGUGUAUAUUUGUAGCUUGGUCCAUCUUCAUCUUAGCUGAUUGUCCCAUCAUAGUUGUUAGUUGCUAUCUCGACUUCUCGAGCAGAGAAGAUAGAUAAAGAUUAUAUUUACCAUUAGAAGAGGCUGUAGGAAAUAACUCAGUAACUCAAAUUAAAUUUUUGAACUAACCCUCCUAAUUUAAGUUUUUGGGUUCACCACUGUGUUCACCGAGAUUGAAACUUAAAUACUAAAAGAAAUAAGAUUGGGUUGAGUGAGGUUGACAAUAAAAUCCGAAUUUAAUAGCUUUAUACACAUUACACACACUUCAACCAGUGGCUCAGUCGACGAUCGAAACUUCAUAGUAGUUGACUUCUCUAUUAGCUUAUUUUAAUUUUGGAAUGCGGAUAAACAAAACAGAGGAUCUCUCUACUCUGCCCCAGCAGCAGCGCGAACAAAGUGAUUUUGUGAUUAGAAAAUAUUCAAUUUGCAAGUAAGUUUAAUAUUACAAAUUAAAUAAAGCAUUAAACUGCAACAUUUUGUUUACCCAAAUAACCGGGUUACAGUACUACUACUGGCGGGGGGAAAUGAAAUCAUAAAAACAAUGAAUACAAAAGAUUAACGACAUGUAAGAGAGCAAUAAAUUUGUCUGAGUCUUUUUACAACAUCAACCAUUGUUGGCCUAUAUACCGGUGAUUCGUUGAGACAUUCAAGAGUGAGUCGUGCACAAGCUUGCAAUUGGUGCUCUUUCCCAGUGCAUGAUAGGUCUUGAACAAUUAUAGGAUCUGCUAUCUCAGUAAAUCUAUUAUUUUCAAGAUAGUUGUUCAAAUAUUCAAUGAGAUGACGGACUGAACCAUGUGUGAGAAGUAAAUCCCUGGCGCCCUGUCCAGUCAAUAGCUCCAACAGAACUGUACCGAAAGUAUAAACAUCAUACUUUUCAUUGAUAACAAGUGUUUCAUUGAAAACAUAUAUCUUCUUGUAGUCAGGUGCGCAUAAUUCCCAUAUUCCCAUCCCACGAUGAGUAACGUGGGUUUUACCUUCGGGAAUGGAUAUGGAUAGUGAAAAAUCAAACAAUUUUGCAACAUUUUCUUCAUUGAACAAGAUGCGUGAUGGGAUGAAAUGUCUAAAAACGAUGGGUCUGGGGAAUCCAACAUGAAGAUAAGCAAGUGCAUGAGCAAUAUCAAUCGCCAUCUUUAACCUAUGUUUCAAUCGUAAUGGUUCAAAUUGAGGUCGAGGUUGAGGAUCGCGGUAGUGACUAAUACGCUCAGGAAGAGUUCUGUACUCUCCAUAUUCAAAAACUAGAAUGGGAAUUGGAGUCUCUAAGCAGCAUCCAAUUAGCUUUAAAAUAUGCUUGUGAUCCAUUUGUGCUGCAUAUACUAUGUUAUUAAUACUAUACUUAUAAACGCUAUCAGGAAGGGAUUCAUCAAACUUCAAAACAGAAAUUAGCCGCUCCUGCCAAAAGCCCUUGUACAAUUUAGUUAUGUAAAAGUCGCAUUGUUUUAUAACUUCUCUCUCGUCAUAGUUGUUAGUUGCAAUCUCGAGUUCUUUAGCAGAAAAGAUACGAUAAGGGUUGUAUUUACCAUGAGAAGACGCGAUCAACUCUUUUAGUACUCUCGCGCCAUUCCUCACCAUCAAUGUUCUUUUAUCAGUCCUGUCCUUGAAUUUUCUGAUAAUCGAACACAUCUACAAGUAGAAACCAAUUCAAAUAUUGCAAUCAGUUCGUUUUAUUUGUAUAUAUACAUACUAUUUCAUUCAUAAAUAUAUAGCAGUAAAAUUUAUCAAAAAAAAAAAAACCAAAAGCUGCUGAACGCUGAUGAUAAGGAGAGGAGUACCUGUGGCUGUGGACGUACAGCAAAUUGAUUAAUUAAGAAAACGCGGUGCUCGAUCUUGAUCUUGAUCUUUACUACUGCAUGUCAAAGUAAAGACUUUAGCAGCCAUGGUUGAACAUGACCAAAUUUGUUGAUCAAAUUUGGUGGGUAAGCCACCAAAUUUUAUCAAACUUGAAGACUGUUAGGCAAGUUUUUUGCAUAUAAAUAGGAGAUGCCCUUCCUUCAUUUUGAUAAUCCCAGAGAGAAACAUUCAAAGUUGUAAAAUCUAAUGCAAGUUAAGCAUUAAGUGAGUAUUAUGAAAUUUUAGUAUUUUGGGUGUAUCUGGGGCUUGGGUGGGAGAAAUUAUUUAUGAGAGUGUGGUUGUAAUAAUUUUCCACAUAGUGAAUAUUUUUUCUCUGGUUGUCUUGUGACAACGGCCGUGGUUUUUCUCCGGAUUUGGAGUUUUCCACGUAAAUCUUGUGUUGUGUGAUUGGUAUAUUUUCUAUUUAAUUUUUUUAAUUAAUUUGUUGCUUGAUAAAUUACUUGGAGAGAUCUUGGAAGGAAACUCAAUUUCCUAACACUGCAGGAGUUGGCUCAGAUUCUGAUGUUGAUUCAUUUGAGUCAUCUCAAUAAAGUAUGAAGGGUUUUUUUUCUAACGCUCAAUUUAAUUUGGACUAUGUGAAAAUGCAACAAGUCUUCCUCUAGUCAACCAAGGAUACUCAACGAAUGAGGGUAAGAAUAGUCCACAUGGCUAAGCGUGGAAUAAUUCUUUUAUAAUGAUUUCUAUUUUUUGAGAAAUUUUAUGACAGAUGAAAUCUCCAAUUAAUAACCAUUGACGUAUCUUAAAUUUUGUCUUGAAAUUUAUCAAAUAUCUUUUCUUCCACAUUUUAUCCUCUUGCAUUUUCAAAUUUUUUUGUUUCCGUGGUUCUCUUUCCUCCCUCUUCAAUUCCCAAAUUUCAAAAGAAAGAGGAUUAAACAUUAAUUAUAUUUCGCCCAGAUUACAUUGGCACCAAAUUUCUCUUAAUUCUCUUCCCUCUUUUCUCUGCUUUGUUCAAUAAUUUAGUCAUUUUAUUUCAUAUAUUUUGUGUAUAUUUGUAGCGAAGCUUGAUUUGAUCUUCAUCUUUAUGUUGAUUAAAUUGAGACACAGCUAUCUAGCUCUCCUAGUUGGCGUUUUAUACAUGUAUCUGAACGAGUAUAAAGUUUCUCCAAUUAAUUCCUUCUUUUUCAGUGCCUUUUCUUUUCUUCUUUUCUUCUUUUUAGGCUUUUUACUUUGUGGGCCACCAAUUUUUUCUUCACUUUCGUACCUUUGCGGUUCUCAUUGUUAAAAAUAAAAUGUUUCAUCAUUACACUUUCUAGUUUCUACUCAGUCAAUUAUUGAGAGAUCAGAGUUAAGAUUUUUUUUUUUUCAAUUAUCAUUUUACGAUAUGCUUUUUAAAAUUAUUUAUCUCAUGAUAUGACUAUCCCUGUAUCCCGUCUGUCAUCUCAAUAUAAAUUCAUAAAUUAGUGAUAUUUAUAAUUAGAAAGAAGUUUAUUCCUAUUGUAUACAUAGAAACUUGAACUUGUAUGACGCUUAUAAGGAGAAGAAUGAUUUACCAUCUGACUUAUGAGAGAAAGUUCUCGCCUAAGGAGCUAUCAGUAGUUGAACAAGAUAUAUACAAAAAUAUUUAUACUUCUGUAAAAGCUUGCAUUUACUGUUGUGGCUAUGAAAACCUGAAGACAUGAUAUCUCAGCAAGAAUACAUGAAUUGACAACAAAACAUAUUCUAAGACUGUUUUUAUUGUGAGUAUAAAAUAACUCACCAUCCAAAACGAUAUGCUUGUCUGAGCUGUUUUGCUACAUCAAUCAUCGUUGGUCAGAUACACAUUUCACGGCAAGCUCUACAGAAGCUUGCACUUGCUUAUCUUUUUCAGAAGAUUGAAUUGAAAGUUCCCCACAAAUACGGGAUCAACGAUCUCAUCAAACGUGUUACAUUCAAUAUGUUUCUUCACACGAUUCUAUAACCAAUGACGAUCUCCAGCUUCAUCAAUGGAAUACAGUUUUUGGCAGGUCAAAAGCACAAGCAGCAACACACCAAAACUGAAAAUGUCGCAUUUCUCAUUGUAGUCACCUGAAGUUGCGUUUGGAAAUGAGAUUGGGCAGCUACAGCUUAAAAGCUACAUCACUAAAGUAUUUGGUAAACACUAACUGCUGUAACUUGAAAAUUAUAUUGACAUGAUUUUUUACUUGUAUCAUCAAAAAUUUAUUAUAUCUUUAAUAAUUUUAUCAAAAUUAUUAUUUAAAUUUUAUAUUUAUUAUAUAUUAUUAAUUUUUGUUUUAUAGUUACAUCUUUUUUUCCGCAACAGCUGUAUUUUAAAAAUUACAACACCUCAAUCCCAGACAUGACCAUACUUAGUGGCAACGAAUCCCAUUAUUCCUAUUGGUAUUGCAUCUUUUAUGUGAGUUUCGCCAUCUGGAAUAGACUCGGCUAGUGAAAAAUCAAACAAUUUGGCAACAUGAUCUUCAUCAAAUAAGAUACUCGAUAAUUUGAUGUUUUUGAAAACAGUAGGCCGAGGAAAUCCAACAUGAGGAUAUGCAAGAGCAUUAGCUAUCUCCAUCGCAAUCUUUAACCUAUGUGUCAAUAGAUAAGGCUCGAAAUGUGACGGACGAGGACCAUGAAUAUAAUUAGCAAGGAUUCCAGAUGACACAGAUUCAAAAACUAGAACAGGAAUUUGAGUCUCUAAGCAACAUCCAAUCAACAUUAAGAUAUUGCUGUGGCUCAUUUGUGAUGCAAAUACAAUGUUCUUCAAGCACCAUUCAUAUGCAUCAUACUUGUCAUUGUUUUGAAACUUCAUAACAGACACUGGAAAAAUUGAUUUCUUCAUUUAAUGGUAAACGCAAACCUAUCCUAAGCUUCUCUGCUGAAGAGCUCAAGAUAGCUACAAACAAUUAUGACUUGCAAAGAGUUAAAACACAAGGUAUCUCGUUCUUUUGGGAUUGUAUAAUUUUGUUAUAUUAUUCUUUUGGAAUUAAGAAUAAACUGAGAUAUUAAUAUUAGUUAUAAUAUUAUCUUUUGAGACUCUGGAGAUAUAAACUCAGCAUUUUGGUUGAGAAUGUUGAUCACUGGAGUUUGUUAUAUAUUGAAUUAUUUUGGGAGUGUUUGUUUUACGUAUUUGUAGAUUGGGAGUGUUAUAUUUAUAAAGGAGAAUCUGCCGAAUUUUCGAUAGAAUAUUUACUAAUAGAAUUAUUAUCAAGUCCGUUUUGAUGAGACUAAAUUAACUCGCUCAGGGGGAUUCGGGGCGGGUCAUUUCAGAGGAUUAAACAGUAAAUAUAUUUCGCCCAGAUUACAUUAGCACCUAAUUUCUCUGCUUUGCUCAAUAAUUUAGUCAUUUUAUUUAAUAUAUUUUGUGUAUAUUUGUAGCGAUGCUUGAUUUGAUCUUGAUCUUUAUGUUGAUUAAAUUGAGACACAGUUAUCUAGCUCUCCUAGUUGGCCUUUUACACAUGUAUCUGAACGAGUAUAAAGUUUGUCCAAUUAAUUCCUUCUUUUUCAGUGCCUUUUCUUUUCUUCUUUUCUUCUUUUUAGGCUUUUUACUUUGUGGGCCACCAAUUUUUUCUUCACUUUCGUACCUUUGCGGUUCUCAUUGUUAAAAAUAAAAUGUUUCAUCAUUACACUUUCUAGUUUCUACUCAGUCAAUUAUUGAGAGAUCAGAGUUAAGAUUUUUUUUUUUUUCAAUUAUCAUUUUACGAUAUGCUUUUUAAAAUUAUUACUCAUGAUAAGCCUAUCCCUGUAUCCCAUCUAUCAUCUCAAUAUAAAUUCAUAAAUUAGUGAUAUUUAUAAUUAGAAAGAAGUUUAUUCCUAUUGUAUACAUAGAAACUUGAACUUGUAUGACGCUUAGAAGGAGAAGAAUGAUUUAACGUCUGACUUAUGAGAGAAAGUUCUCGCCUAAGGAGCUAUCAGUAGUUGAACAAGAUACAAAAAUAUUUAUACUUCUGUAAAAGCUUGCAUUUACUGUUGUGGCUAUGAAAACAUGAAGACAUGAUAUCUCAACAAGAUACAUGAAUUGACAACAAAACAUAUUCUAAGAAUGUUUUUAUUGUGACUAUAAAAUAACUCACCAUCCAAAACGAUAUGCUUGUCUGAGCUGUUUUGCUACAUCAAUCAUCGUUGGUCUAUCCUCCGCUGAUUCAGAUACACAUUUCACGGCAAGCUCUACAAAAGCUUGCACUUGCUUAUCUUUUUCAGAAGAUUGAAUACAGAGUUCCUCACGAAUUACAGGAUCGACAAUCUCAUCAAACGUGUUACAUUCAAUAUGUUUCUUCACACGAUUCAAUAACCAAUGACGAUCUCCAGCUUCAUCAAUGGAAUACAAUUUUUGUCCAGUCAAAAGCACAAGCAGCAACACACCAAAACUGAAAACGUCGCAUUUCUCAUUGUAGUCACCUGUGGUUACAUACUCAGUCGCAACGAAUCCCAUUAUUCCUAUUGGUAUUGCAUCUUUUAUGUGAGUUUCGCCAUCUGGAAUAGACUCGGCUAGUGAAAAAUCAAACAAUUUGGCAACAUGAUCUUCAUCAAAUAAGAUACUCGAUAAUUUGAUGUUUUUGAAAACAGUAGGCCGAGGAAAUCCAACAUGAGGAUAUGCAAGAGCAUUAGCUAUCUCCAUCGCAAUCUUUAACCUAUGUGUCAAUAGAUAAGGCUCGAAAUGUGACGGACGAGGACCAUGAAUAUAAUUAGCAAGGAUUCCAGAUGACACAGAUUCAAAAACUAGAACAGGAAUUUGAGUCUCUAAGCAACAUCCAAUCAACAUUAAGAUAUUGCUGUGGCUCAUUUGUGAUGCAAAUACAAUGUUCUUCAAGCACCAUUCAUAUGCAUCAUACUUGUCAUUGUUUUGAAACUUCAUAACAGACACUGGGCGGCCAUGCAAGAAAGCAGUGUACAGUUGAUAUACAAAGCCUUGUGUUUUAACUCUUUGCAAGUCAUAAUUGUUUGUAGCUAUCUUGAGCUCUUCAGCAGAGAAGCUUAGGAUAGGUUUGCGUUUACCAUUAAAUGAAGAAAUCAAUUUUUCCAGUAUUGGGCGGCCAUGCAAGAAAGCAUUGUACAGUUGAUAUACAAAGCCUUGUGUUUUAACUCUUUGCAAGUCAUAAUUGUUUGUAGCUAUCUUGAGCUCUUCAGCAGAGAAGCUUAGGAUAGGUUUGCGUUUACCAUUAAAUGAAGAAAUCAAAUUUUCCAGUAAAUUUUUGCCAUUCCUCAUAAUGCAUUUUUCCUUAUCUUCCUUCCCCGAAUUCUUGAUUGCUCCCAAACAUGAAUACAUGAUCUAUAGUUCCAAAAACCCAGGAAAUAAUUUCAAUUUAUUCAACAAUAAAAACAAAGGAUUUUAAGAACAUUAAAGGAUAUGUUACACAAAGGGAGAUUUUACAUGUACCUGUGGAUGGUCAAUUAGGAUUGAAGAUAAAGAAAACAGAGGAGCCCUACGCUUGAUCCCUGCAGCAGAAUAAAUAUAAGAAAAAAGUUUCCACUUCUGAGUAUGGAAGUAAUUUUGUCCAUGAAUUAUACAAUUAAAGUAAGAGACUCGAAUUUACAGAGUUGUGGCAUUCAUUCUUUUAUCCAAGAAAAUAAACAGGAAAGCUUGCAAGUGACAAACCAUCCAUCAACGAUUUUGGAUUCAAGCUUUCAACAAGACAGAUACAUUUGUCUAAGUUGUUUUGCCACAUCAAUCAUUGUUGGCCUUUCUUCUGGUGAUUCAGAGACACAUUUAAAGGCAAAAUCUAAAUAAGCCUACAGCAGUUGCUCUUUUAUUGGGCAUAAUCCCUCUUCAAUAAUCAUAGGAUCAACCAUUUCAUUCAACCCAUUUUCUUCAACAUAUUUCUUCAGAAGAUCCCAUAAGUAAUUUUCAACGCCAAGUCUUUUAUCGCGGCAGAAAGAAGUUAUCUUCUGCCCAGUCAAAAGAUCAAGUAGCAACAUACCAAAACUAUGAACAUCGUACUUCUCAUUGCACUUAGCUUCAAGCAAAACCUCAGGUGCAAUAUAUCCCCUUGUCCCAGCUAUUUGAACAUCUACAUGAGUUUCUCCUUCUGGAAUAGACACAGAUAGUGAAAAAUCAAACAGUUUGGCAACAUUUUGCUCAUCAAAGAAUAUUCUCCAUGGCGUCGCACUCAUAAAAAUGAUGGGUCUGGCAAAUCCUGCGUGGAGAUAUGCAACUGCAUUGGCUAAUUCCAUUGCAACCUUCAACCUAUUUCUGAAUGGUAGAGGCUCAAAAUUAUGUCUACGGCGCCUAUAUAUGCGAUCGGCAAGGGUACCGAGCUCAAUGGAUUCAAAAACUAGAAUAGGAAUCUGAGUCUCCAAACAACAUCCGAUCAACUUCAAAAUAUUUUUGUGACUCAUUUGUGAUCCAAAUACUAUGUUAUUGAAACAAAACUUGUAUUGAUUAUCACUGUUGUAAUUCUCCCCAAACUUCAAAAUAGAAACUGCACGAGCAUUCAGGACACCUUUGUACAAUAUAUAGCCACUCUCUUGGAUUAUAAUUCUCUCUCUAUCGUAGUUGUUUGUAGCCGUUGUGAGCUCUUGGAAGGAGAAGUCACGAAUAGGAUUAUAGUUACCAUUAGAAGAGGCAAUCAAUUUUUCUAGUAAAACUUUGUUAUUCAUCGACUUAACAGUUGACUUGUCUGCCUUUCCCGAGGACUUGCUUUUUCCCAAACACAAACCCAUCUAAGAUCUAAGAUCUAAGUCUAAUCAAUAAAUUUGUACAGACACAUUAAAAUAAUUCCUCUCUCACUUCAUUAAACUGUACAUUGAACAAAUAUUCUGAGUGUUUAUUAACCAGACCACUAAAAGUAAUAGUAUUUUCAAGGGCGCAAUAUUCAUGCCAUUACGUGUAACCAAUGACAAAUAUUCUACUAAUAUUAAAUUUAAACGUGAAUAUCAUCAAAUUCUUUUUUUUUCUUUUUUGUGAUAAAUAGCUUUUAUUUAUAAAAAUGCUCACCUAAAAAUAUAUCUAGCAGUACUACUCAAUAACAUACACCAUUAUGUUAUAUAUAGUUUAAAGAAAUCUACUAGCGUCCCACCCAUGGGCGGACUCAGUACAUAAGGGGGCUCAAGAGGGACUUCAGAGACUUUUUUAGGCCAUUAUUUUUCUUUUAAAUAUAUCUCAUACCCUUUUUAAAAGAGUUAAAUAAAAAAAAUUUGAGCACAUUUUUUUAUGUAACAAAAUACUUAUAAUUUAGUGGCAAGAGUACUGUUUAGUGGUUUUUAUAGACUUGGUUCAAACUACAAUAGCCAUAUAAUUAUUUUAUGGAGAUUACUUAUAUAAGGAACUUUUAUAAAUGUGGUCAGUGGCCACAAUGAGCUUCAACAUUAAAAAUAAAUAAUUUAUUAUUAUUAUUUAAAAUGAAAAAGUAGAGUUUGAGUUUUGAGACUUUAAAAAAUAAGUACGCCAAAUUAAAUUAAAAUUUUUGAACUCACCUUCCAAAUUUAAGUUUCGGGGUACACCACUGUGUCCGCCGAGAUUGAAACUUAAAUACUAAAAGAAAUACAAUUGGGUUGAGUGAGGUUGACAAUAAAAUCCGAAUUUAAUAGCUUUUAUACACAUUACACACACUUCAACCAGUGGCUCAGUCGACGAUCGAAACUUCAUAGUAGUUGACUUCUCUAUUAGCUUAUUUUAAUUUCAGAAUGCGAAUAAACAAAACAGAGGAUCUCUCUACUCUGCCCCAGCAGCAGCGUGAACAAAGUGAUUUUGUGAUUAGAAAAAUAUUCAAUUUGCAAGUAAGUUUAAUAUUACAAAUUAAAUUUACUUGCAAAUUAAACAAGUUACAUUUUGUUUAUUCAAAUAACCGGGUUACAGUACUACUACUGGCAGGGGAAAAUGAAAACAUAGAAACAAUGAAUACAAAAGAUUAAUUACACUAAAUAGAGCAAUAAAUUUGUCUGAGUCUUUUUGUGACAUCAGCCAUUGUUGCCCUAUCUACCGCUGAUUCGUUGAGACAUUCAAGAGUGAGUCGUGCACAAGCUUGCAAUUGGUGCUCUUUCUCAGUGCAUGAUAGGUCUUGAACAAUUAUAGGAUCUGCUAUCUCAGUAAAUCUAUUAUUUUGAAGAUAGUAGUUCAAAUGUUCAAUGAGAUGACGGACCGAACCAUGUGUAUGAAGUAAAUCCAUGCUGCCCUGUCCAGUCAAUAGCUCCAACAGAACUGCACUGAAAGUAUAAACAUCAUACUUUUCAUUGAAAACACCUGUCCUCAUGUACUCAGGUACGUACUCAGGUACAUACUCAGGUGCACAAUAUCCCUGUGGUUGCAUCAGACAAUCAGUAAUGUGGGUUUCACCUUCGGGAAUGGAUAUGGAUAGUGAAAAAUCAAACAGUUUUGCAACAUUUUCUUCAUUGAACAAGAUGCGUGAUGGGAUGACAUGUCUAAAAACGAUGGGUCUGGGGAAUCCAACAUGAAGAUAAGCAAGUGUAUGAGCGAUAUCCAUUGCAAUCUUUAACCUAUGUUUCAAUCGUAAUGGUUCAAAUUGCGGUCGAGGUUGAGGAUUGCCGCAGAGACCAAUACGCUCAGGAAGAGUUCUGUACUCUCCAUAUUCAAAAACUAGAAUGGGAAUUGGAGUCUCUAAGCAGCAUCCAAUUAGCUUUAAAAUAUGCUUGUGAUCCAUUUGUGCUGCAUAUACUAUUUUAUUAAUACUAUACUUAUAAGCGCCUGAUAAUCGAACACAUCUACAAGUAGAAACCAAUUCAAAUAUUGCAAUCAGUUCGUUUUAUUUGUAUAUACACAUACUAUUUCAUUCAUAAAUAUAAAGCAGUAAAAUUUAUCAAAAAAAAAAAAAAACCAAAAGCUGCUGAACGCUGAUGAUAAGGAGAGGAGUACCUGUGGCUGUGGACUGAUGAUGAGGAGAGGAGUACCUGUGGCUGUGGGCGUACAGCAAAUUGGUUAAUAAGAAAACGCUGUGCUCGAUCUUGAUCUUGAUCUUUACUACUGCAGGAGUUGACUCUGAUUCUGAUGUUGAUUCAUUUGAGUCAUCUGAAUAAGUAUGAAGGGUUUUUUUAAUGCUCAAUUUAAUUUGGAAUAUGUGAAAAUGCAACAAGUGUUCCUCUAGUCAACCAAGGAUACACAACGAAUGAGGGUAAGAAUAGUCCACGUGGCUAAGCGUGGAAUAAUUCUUUUAUAAUGAUUUCUAUUUUUUGAGAAAUUUUAUGAUAGUUGAAACCGGCAAUUAAUAAACAUUGACGUAUCUUAAAUUUUGUGUUGAAAUUUAUCAAAUAUCUUUUCUUCCACAUUUUAUCCUCUUGCAUUUUCAAAUUUUUUUGUUUCCGUGGUUCUCUUUCCUCCCGCUUCAAUUCCCAAAUUUCAAAAGAAAGAGGAUGUAACGUAUGUGAAUUAAAUGAAUAAAUAAAAAGAGGCGGUUAAGAAAUUAGUAAAAGCAAAAGAGAAAAGAGCUGGAAAACAGAGGGAAGAUGCACGUGUGACAGAGAGUGAGAGAGAAGUAGAGAUGGUAAAACCCUGGGCUGGGUCCGGGUAUUGCAAUGACCGGACCUGCCCGAAUGCAACCGGUCCGAGUCUGAGUCCGGGCCGAGUUUUAAUCUGGGUACCCAAAUUUUAUAUUUUUUUAAUAUUAUAUGUGUAUAUAUUUUUUAUUUUUUGGUAAUUUUAUAAGUUUUAAAUUUAUUUCAAUAAAGUUUGACAUGAAAAUAUAAACUUUAAGUGUUUAAAACUUUAUAUAUGUAUAAUAAAUGAGCCAAAUAAAUAUAAAUAUUUAAAAUAAUAUAUAUUUUAUAAUAUUUUUUAAAUAAAACCCGGGUUCCGAGUUUAUCAAGUAAUGCUCAAGACCGACCCGGCUUCAUACCCGGACCGGGUAAUACCCGGCCCACAACGCCUGGGUACGGUUCGGGCUCGGACCGGGCGGGUAUUUUUUCCACCUCUAGAGAGAAGCUGCCAAACCGACCCAAUUACAGACCCGAAAACCCGACCUGGAACUCGCGAUCGUGACCUGGCCAUAUCUCCCAUUUCCGGCCACCGUUUUGGUCGCGCUUGGUACCAAUCUGAAGCUUAGAAGCCGGCCGUCGUUCCCCUGCCAUCCUCGUCGCCAAAAACCAACCGGAACGCCGGCGAUCGAAGCUUGAAAACCCGCGACUGUUUCGCUUUAUUCCGCCAGGAUUUUCGCCUGUUUUGGGUGACACCACCGGUUGGAUUUUGUUCCUCACAACUCCCUCUUCCAUUUCCGACCAUCCAUAGCCACCGGGAGUCACUGUUUUACCGCCGGUCAAUUGUUGGAAUUCACGGCCGUUGAGCUAGAUUCCAACGUCGUUACCGCGCACCCAAUUACAGACCCGAAAACCCGACCUGGAACUCGCGAUCGUGACCUGGCCAUAUCUCCCAUUUCCGGCCACCGUUUUGGUCGCGCUUGGUACCAAUCUGAAGCUUAGAAGCUGGCCGUCGUUCCCCUGCCAUCCUCGUCGCCAAAAACCAACCGGAACGCCGGCGAUCGAAGCUUGAAAACCCGCGACUGUUUCGCUUUAUUCCGCCAGGAUUUUCGCCUGUUUUGGGUGACACCACCGGUUGGAUUUUGUUCCUCACAACUCCCUCUUCCAUUCCCGACCAUCCAUAGCCACCGGGAGUCACUGUUUUGCCACCGGUCAAUUGUUGGAAUUCACGGCCGUUGAGCUAGAUUCCAACGUCGUUACCGCGCGUUGGAGCUCACCGCCGGUACCAUUGAACUCAGCGUGAGUGGAACUUUCAGACUUGAGCUUCCCGGCCAGCGUUGACCAAAUUUCGGUGACCGUUGACCAGCAAGGGCAUUUCAGUAAUUUCACACUCCGAGGGCAAUUUUGUAAUUUCUGAGCCAGUGGAUAUUUUAGUAAUUCCUAGAAUUGAGGAUUGGGUGUAAUUACGAUUCUGAGGGUAAUUCGAUAAUUUUCGAUUUCAGAGUAUUUUAAUAAUUUACGGACUUGAGGGCAUUUUAGUAAUUUUAUCGACACAGGAGUUGUAAAUUAUGGAUAGAUGUUCGUUUCGAGUUUAUUGCAUAAAUUUAGUCCUAAUUACGAUUUACGAAAAAUAAUUAUGUUGUUUCCUUGAUUUAGGAGGAUCUGCGAGCGAGAACCGGUCCGCGGACGUGGACGAUAACCGAGUGUGAACACCGUCACUGUAACACCGUCACUGUAACACCGUCACUGUGAGUGGAAUAUACAAAACCUAUUUUCAUAGUUAAUUAUGAUAGUAAAGCAUGUUUGAGGAAUAAAUAUUUUAAAUAUUCUGAUUUAAUGAUUUCCUCGAAAUGGAUUUUAUUCAUGCAUUGGUAUUUUAUUAAAAUGUUUGUUUAAUGAUUUUGCGUAUCGACUUUGAAUAAGCAUGAUAGUAUUUUAAAGAUAAGAAAAGUGGAUUCAAAUGUGGUAUGAUUUAAAGUAUGGUUAAAAGAUAUGUGAAUAUGAGUAUAGUGAUUGUUUUUGAAAUCAUUAGACCGCACCAUUCCCUCCAGAUACAGUGAUACAUAUGAGAUGAGAUGAGAGGCCUUUGGGGCCCGUCUGAACACACAUAGAGGCUUUGGGCCGUGUGUUUGGGCGUUUUUGCCUUUUGGGGGCAUAUGCAUGCGGUAUGAUGAUUACAGAGAUACAGAUAUGAGAUACAGACAGAUAUUGAGAUACAGAUGAUACGAAUGAGAUACAGGCCUUUGGGGCCUGUCUGAGUACACAUAGAGGCUUUGGGCCGUGUGCUUGGGCGCUUUUGUCCUUUUGGGACUAGAUUAUGCAUGCACAGAUAUGAUGAGUUAUGAGAUGGUAUUUCCCUGUCUAUCCGUGUAGCUCCGGGGCGUGACGGUACCCAGAUAGUACGUCAUUGCCCGUCCGUUGAGGUCCAGAUAUGACGAGAUUAUUUCCCUAGGUACUUGUUUGGUGAUGAUUUUCAUAUUUGUGUAUUUUAUAUGAUAUUGUAAUAUGAUUUCCAUGGUUAUUUGGUACGAUAUUAUAUAUGUUUUUCAUGGUUAAUAAUCUGAUUUAAAUGUUAAAUGAUUUAUUACUGAUUUCUCGCAUAUAAUUUGAUGAAAUCGUGUUUGGAAAUGAUAUGAUUAUCUCUUUUAAAGUAAGAAUUAAUUUUCAAAAACUACUAUCCAUUUACUGAUCUCACUGAGUUUUAAACUCACCCCGUUUUUAUUAUAUUUUCACCCCCUCACCAGGAGGUCGCAGGUACACCAGACCGACCCAGCGACUGUAAAUAUAUUUUGAGUCUUGGCCACGUGAUGGUGUUAGAAGAUAUAGAUGUUUUUGUUAAGACAUCUUGAUUAUCUCGUUCUUUUGGGAUUGUAUAAUUUUGUUAUAUUAUUCUUUUGGAAUUAAGAAUAAACUGAGAUAUUAAUAUUAGUUAUAAUAUUAUCUUUUGAGACUCUGGAGAUAUAAACUCAGCAUUUUGGUUGAGAAUGUUGAUCACUGGAGUUUGUUAUAUAUUGAAUUAUUUUGGGAGUGUUUGUUUUACGUAUUUGUAGAUUGGGAGUGUUAUAUUUAUAAAGGAGAAUCUGCCGAAUUUUCGAUAGAAUAUUUACUAAUAGAAUUAUUAUCAAGUCCGUUUUGAUGAGACUAAAUUAACUCGCUCAGGGGGAUUCGGGGCGGGUCAUUUCAGAGGAUUAAACAGUAAAUAUAUUUCGCCCAGAUUACAUUAGCACCUAAUUUCUCUGCUUUGCUCAAUAAUUUAGUCAUUUUAUUUAAUAUAUUUUGUGUAUAUUUGUAGCGAUGCUUGAUUUGAUCUUGAUCUUUAUGUUGAUUAAAUUGAGACACAGUUAUCUAGCUCUCCUAGUUGGCCUUUUACACAUGUAUCUGAACGAGUAUAAAGUUUGUCCAAUUAAUUCUUAAUUAAUUCCUUCUUUUUUAGUGCCUUUUCUUUUUUUUUUUUUUGGCUUUUUACUUUAUGGGCCACCAAUCUUUUCUUCACUUUCGUACCUUUGCUGUUCUCAUUGUUAAAAAUAAAAUGUCAUUUCAUCAUUACACUUAGGGUGGGCAAAUUAUCUGAUCUGACCCGACCCGAAAAAUUUCAGGUUCGGAUCGGAUCAGAUCAGGUUGUAAAAGCAACCCGAUUGGGUGUAAAUGGUGAAACUCGAUCGGGUUGUGAUCGGAUCGGGUUAUACCCAAUCUGAUCCGAAAACCCGAUCGAGUUUCUUAAAAAAUAAAAAAUAAACACAUGCACGCACGCCACACAUUCACACAAACACAACACAAAUAAGAUAUUUAUUCACAGCACAAACACACAAACACAAGGCUGCUGUUGCGCACAAAACACAUCCACGAACUGCACCCAAUGGCCAACAACAAGUCGCCAACGGAGUCCACACCUCAAGAAGCGUCUGCCUAUGUGCUCACUACUGCUUGGUGUUGCUGCGAGUUCGCUAGGGAUGGCAAUGGGGAGGGGAGGGGAGGGGAGGGGACCAAUCUCCCCGUACCCAUCCCCGAUAUUUUGCGUAUGUCCCCGUCCCCUCCCCAUCCCUGUCAAAAUUAUUUAAGACAAUCCACAUCCCCUCCCCAAAUAAUAACAAGGGAUUCCCGAGGGUCCCCGAUCCCCGAAUAACUAAUACAUUUUUUUUUGUUUUCGAUUUUGAAUUAAUCAUAUUAAAAUAAAAAAUUCAAAUAAAAGUAAAGUUCGAAAUAUAUCUUACAUUAAUAUCCAUUACAAAAGUCACAUAUAUUAAAUUAGUAAGUAACGCAGCAUGCAAGGGAUACAAACUAUCAUGAACAAAUUAAUAGCCUAAUACAAAAUUGUUACAAAUAAAAUUAAAUUUAGAUUCAAAAUUAACUUUUCAAUGGUGGCGUUGGCACUUUAUAAAUGUGGACUAUUCCCUUUACAGCACAAUAGUUAAGUCGAAGCAAAUCAAGAGCAAAUAUUAGAUUAGAUUAGAUAUAAAAAUUGUGAUUUGCUGUGGGCAAUUAUAACAUCUAAAAAUAAAUAAAAAAUAGAUUUAAGAUAAAUAAAAAAUAGAUUUAAGUUUAAAAUAUGUAAUGAAUAUUAAAACUAAAACAAAAGUGUCUUUUUAAUGACCUAAAUAAAAAUUUAGGACUUUAAUUAGUUAAUUAGGCCUAAAAGUUUAAUAAUAUAAAUAUUUUGAUAUUUUUUAUUUUUACCAAUACUUAUAAUUUUAUAAUUCAGAUUUUAUUAUUUAUUUACUAGUAAUUUUAAAAAAUUAAAAUGGGGAAAUGGGUAGGGGAUGGGGAUGGGGAUGGGGAUUCCACCUCAUCCACGUCCCCUCCCCGAAUAAGAAAUUGGGUAAAAAAAUUUCUCCAUCCCUUCCCCGAAAAAAAAAUUGGGUAUGAAAUUAUCCUCAUACCCUCCCCGAAUGGAGAAAAUCCCCGAGGGUACCCGUCCCCGUGGGGAUUUUUGUCAUCCCUAUAAGUGAUGCUUGAUCUUGAUCUUUACUACUACAAGAGUUAGUUAAGAUUCUGAUGUUGAUUAAAUUGAGUCAUAUAGAGUUUUUUUUUUCUUUUAAUCAUGAAUAAUUAUAAAAUUUGUUUGUCUAAUUAAUGCUUAAUUUAAUUUGAAAUACAUUAUGAAAAUACAAGAAGUCUUCCCCGGUUCAACCAAGGAUAUCCGACGCAAGAGGGAAAGAAAUAGUCCACAUGCCUAAGCGUGGAAUUAAUUCUUUUAUGAUGAUUUUUAUUUUUUGAGAAAUAUGUUAAGAAAUAAGAAUAUAGAACAUAAGUAAUGUAAAUGGAACAUAAAAUAUAAGUGACGUAAAUAAAAGGUAAUACAAAUAAAACAUGUACAUAUCUUAAGAAAUAAGAACAUAAAACAUAAAUAAAAAGUAAAACAAAUAAAACAUGUAAGUAUCUUGAGAAAUAAGAACAUAAAACUAAUAUUAAUAUGGAACAUAAAAUAUAAGUGACAUAAAUAAAAGGUAAAAAAGUAAAGUUUAUUUACAUAAAGAGAACGUACUUAAAAAGAAAUUAAAGCAAGCUGAUGAUGACAAUUGACAAGAAGCUAGGAUGUACCUGUGGACGGGCGAGAGGUUUGAUCUUUCGAUGUACCUGCGGACGGUGAGAGGCUUGAUCUUUUGAGAGACAGUGUUGCAAUUUCUCAAGCAAAAUUUGAACAGAAAUGUAAGCUUCUAAGAAAUUUUCAGAAGUCAACCAUAAAUUAUUCAAAGUCCGGAGAAAAAUAUUGUUAUAGCAUCAUAAACGCGGUCACCAGAGAGGCACUGUGUGUACGCUGCCAUCUCUCAAGGGUAUAUUUGUACCAGCAUAUUGUUUUAUAUAAAGUAACCUUCAAUACACCCAUGGAAUGACAAUCCUCAAUUUGUACUCUAAAAGUGUGAAAAUUUUAAUUUAUCUAUUUAAAAGAUGAGGGUCGAUGGGGUGUGUUGAUGAAUUUUUUUAGUUAUCUUCUUUUUAUUUUUAUUUUUUUUUUGGAAUCAAUUGAAUAUUGUUAUUCUAAAUAGUGGUAAAAUUCAACCCAUGUUUUUCAUUUAAGUGAUAGAAUCUCGUGGCUCAUCUUCCACUCUCUGUAAUAGUGUAAAUAUUAAUGACAAUGAAGUACUUAUCCACAAUAAAUCUACAGCUUUCAAAAGUUUGACCAUAAAUCUACAACAAGCAAAUAUGCCAUUGUUGGUAAUAUUCAUGCCAUUACGUGUAACCAAUGACAAAUAUUCUACUAAUAUUAAAUUUAAACGUGAAUAUCAUCAAAUUCUUUUUUUUCUUUUUUGUGAUAAAUAGCUUUUAUUUAUAAAAAUGCUCACCUAAAAAUAUAUCUAGCAGUACUACUCAAUAACAUACACCAUUAUGUUAUAUAUAGUUUAAUCUGCUGUACCGUACAUCCGCCUUGGCCGUACAGCAGUAAUACAUUUUUUUUUGUUUUCGAUUUUGAAUUAAUCAUAUUAAAAUAAAAAAUUCAAAUAAAAGUAAAGUUCGAAAUAUAUCUUACAUUAAUAUCCAUUACAAAAGUCACAUAUAUUAAAUUAGUAAGUAACGCAGCAUGCAAGGGAUACAAACUAUCAUGAACAAAUUAAUAGCCUAAUACAAAAUUGUUACAAAUAAAAUUAAAUUUAGAUUCAAAAUUAACUUUUCAAUGGUGGCGUUGGCACUUUAUAAAUGUGGACUAUUCCCUUUACAGCACAAUAGUUAAGUCGAAGCAAAUCAAGAGCAAAUAUUAGAUUAGAUUAGAUAUAAAAAUUGUGAUUUGCUGUGGGCAAUUAUAACAUCUAAAAAUAAAUAAAAAAUAGAUUUAAGAUAAAUAAAAAAUAGAUUUAAGUUUAAAAUAUGUAAUGAAUAUUAAAACUAAAACAAAAGUGUCUUUUUAAUGACCUAAAUAAAAAUUUAGGACUUUAAUUAGUUAAUUAGGCCUAAAAGUUUAAUAAUAUAAAUAUUUUGAUAUUUUUUAUUUUUACCAAUACUUAUAAUUUUAUAAUUCAGAUUUUAUUAUUUAUUUACUAGUAAUUUUAAAAAAUUAAAAUGGGGAAAUGGGUAGGGGAUGGGGAUGGGGAUGGGGAUUCCACCUCAUCCACGUCCCCUCCCCGAAUAAGAAAUUGGGUAAAAAAAUUUCUCCAUCCCUUCCCCGAAAAAAAAAUUGGGUAUGAAAUUAUCCUCAUACCCUCCCCGUCCUUUAUUGGGAGAACCUGUGCCUUUCGGUUCGAGCUGGAAGUUCUAGUCUGGGUUGUGGUACGGACUUAAAGGUGCUUCCCACAGUUGGGGUCCUCCCCAGGAUACCUCGUGGUCAAAACCAAAAAAAAAAAAAUAACCGGGUUACAGUACUACUACUGGCAGGGGAAAAUGAAAACAUAAAAAACAACGAAUACAAAAGAUUAAUUACAUGAAAGAGAGCAAUAAAUUUGUCUGAGUCUUUUUGUAACAUCAACCAUUGUUGGCCUGUCUACCGGUGAUUCGUUGAGACAUUCAAGAGUGAGUCGUGCACAAGCUUGGAAUUGGUGCUCUGUCUCAGUGCAUGAUAGGUCUUGAACAAUUAUAGGAUCUGCUAUCUCAGUCAAUCUAUUAUUUUGAAGAUAGUUCUUCAAAUAUUCAAUGAGAUGACGGACCGAACCAUGUGUACGAAGUAAAUCCCUGGUGCUCUGUCCAGUCAAAAGCUCCAACAGAACUGUACUGAAAGUAUAAACAUCCAACUUUUCAUUGAAAACGCCUCCCCUCUUGUACUCAGGUGCACUAUAUGUCCAGGCUCCAAACCGACUACGAGUAAUUAUGUGGGUUUCACCUUCGGGAAUGGAUAUGGAUUCCGAAAAAUCAAACAAUUUUGCAACAUUUUCUUCAUUGAACAAGAUGCAUAAUGAGAUGAGAUUUCCAAAAACGAUGGGUCUGGGGAAUCCAACAUGAAGAUAAGCAAGUGCCUGAGCAAUACCCAUUGCAACCUUUAACCUAUGUUUCAACAGUAAUGGUUCAAAGUGAGGUUGGGGAGCGCCGAAAAUACGAUCACGAAGAGUUGUGUACUCUCCAUAUUCAAAAACUAGAAUGGGAAUUGGAGUCUCUAAGCAGCAUCCAAUUAGCUUUAAAAUAUGCUUGUGAUCCAUUUGCGCUGCAUAUACGAUGUUAUUAAUACUAAACUUAUAAGCGCUAUCAGAAUAGGAUUCAUUAUACUUCAAAACAGAAAUUAGGCGCUCCUGCCAAAAGCCCUUGUACAAUUUAUACGUGCUGUCUUGUUUUAUAAAUUUUCUCUCGUCAUAGUUGUUAGUUGCAAUCUCGAGUUCUUUAGCAGAAAAGAUACGAUAAGGGUUGUAUUUACCAUGAGAAGACGC
RNAcentral lists this long non-coding RNA (32872 nucleotides) under Citrus sinensis (sweet orange). RNAcentral's name for it is "long non-coding RNA (CSIN_LNC001373)". The record is from RNAcentral. Lineage: Eukaryota; Viridiplantae; Streptophyta; Magnoliopsida; Sapindales; Rutaceae.